Brassica oleracea var. oleracea is the source of this 1332-nucleotide RNA transcript. It is a transcript of the gene named 14-3-3-like protein GF14 mu, with no coding region annotated. The transcript is spliced from 4 exons. The record is from RefSeq and is a predicted model, not a curated record. Lineage: Eukaryota; Viridiplantae; Streptophyta; Magnoliopsida; Brassicales; Brassicaceae.
UCCUCUUUUCUUGAUCUUUUUUAAAUUACCAUAACCUGAUUUGUAAAGUUGUUUUCACUGCAAUGUUUAAAAAAAAAAAUUUUAAACUUGGGGUAAAAUUUCUAUAUUAUUUGGUUGAUAAUGAAAACUUAAUAUGUAAUUUGUGAAAAGAAUUAGAAGUUACAUCCGGUCAUUGUUAGUUAGAAAUUGUAUAUUUCUUUGGUUAAUAAAAGUUAGAGAUUGUAUAUUUUUUUUUUGUCUUGACACUUAUGAUCAUUUAGUUCUUCGUAAUCAGUCUCCUAAUGAAGCAAUUUUCCCUCUUGUUUUUUUUACUUUCUAAAAUCAACAACAUCACAUUUGCUUUCUUGUUUUGUGUUUCUUACUUGUUUUAACUUUCUUCUUGUGUUUGUUUCUCUUAUUGGCUAAGAGACAAAUCUGCUAGUGGGAAAGCGAAUGAUGGUAAUAAUGCAAAGAUGAUCAAAAGCUCAUAUGGACAAAGUCUACACCGGUACCUCUAAACGGCUAUAUAGAGGAGACCGAUACAGUGGAUUAAACCGACUCCAAUAACCACCUGAUUAUCGUCUUCUUUAGUCUUGUACCAAAAGUUAAUGAACCAGCGCGGUACACUUCUCUGACCAUUGUUGAAUGUCACAAUCUCAACACUUUGAUUCUUUUGCUUGUUUUAACUUUCUUCUUGUGUUUUAUUUCUUUUAUUGGCUAAGAGACAAAUCUGCUAGUGGGAAAGCGAAUGAUGUUAAUAAUGGAAAGAGGAUCAAAACUCAUAUGGACAAAGUCUACCCGGGCACAUUUUUUUUUGGGCAAAGUUGCUUUUAUUGGAUAAGAGACACAAAUCAAAAGCUUAUAUGGACAAGGUUGAGCUAGAGCACUCAAACAUACGUGUUGAUAGUCUGUGUUGGAUGAGCAUCUCUCAUUCCCUCCGCUUCCGAGGAUCAAUCAACCAUCUUUUUCAACAAGAUUUUCUUCCUUUACUUGUCACUACUGCUGCUGAGGUUAAACUUCCUCCUACACAUCCUAUCAGAUUGGCUUUGGCGUUGAACUUCUACUACGAGAUCAUGAACUCACUCACAAGAAAGGGUUUUAGAGAUUGUUUAGUAACUAAGUACCUUAGAAGACUCAUACGUUAUUUGAGAUUGUUUUUACUUCUUAAAUUAAGGGCAUGCCCACCUUGGUGAGUAAAUUGUGAAAUGUAGAGUUUCCACUGUUUCAUGUAUCAUUAUUGUGUAUGUUGUAAUCUGGUUUGACCGUUUUGAGUGUGUUUGCAUCAUCCUGAUGCAUGUCUCAGACACUGUCUUCUUGUUUGUAAUUCGAAACUCGUUACUGUCUUUUCCACCC